Molecule: unclassified non-coding RNA, 24 nt
Filed under: Mus musculus (house mouse)
Lineage: Eukaryota; Metazoa; Chordata; Mammalia; Rodentia; Muridae
Description: oocyte_clustered_small_RNA6382
Source: RNAcentral
CAUCCCCUGUUCACACUACACGGC